This 460-nucleotide ribosomal RNA is filed under the name uncultured bacterium. Its description in RNAcentral is "partial 16S ribosomal RNA". It matches the Rfam family "Bacterial small subunit ribosomal RNA", at positions 338 to 795 of the family's 1533-position model. The record is from RNAcentral.
CCUACGGGUGGCAGCAGUGAGGAAUAUUGGUCAAUGGGCGCGAGCCUGAACCAGCCAAGUCGCGUGAGGGAAGACGGCCCUACGGGUUGUAAACCUCUUUUGCCGGGGAGCAACGGGCGCCACGUGUGGCGCCACUGAGAGUACCCGGCGAAAAAGCAUCGGCUAACUCCGUGCCAGCAGCCGCGGUAUUACGGAGGAUGCGAGCGUUAUCGGGUUUUAUUGGGUUUAAAGGGUGCGGAGGCGGAGCGUUAAGUCAGUGUUCAAUUUGAGGGGGCCAACCCCUUCGCGCCAUGGAAACUGGCGAUCUUGAGUGGAAGAGAGGGAUGCGGAAUGCGUGGUGUAGCGGUGAAAUGCAUAGAUAUCACGCAGAACCCCGAUUGCGAAGGCAGCAUGCCGGCUUCCUACUGACGCUGAAGCACGAAAGCGUGGGGAUCGAACAGGAUUAGAUACCCUUGUAGUC